RNAcentral lists this long non-coding RNA (2114 nucleotides) under Canis lupus familiaris (dog). RNAcentral's name for it is "lncRNA (ENSCAFG00040020923.1)". Lineage: Eukaryota; Metazoa; Chordata; Mammalia; Carnivora; Canidae. The record is from RNAcentral.
GGGAUGUGCACGCCCCUCAGAGCAGCCUCCCUCCAGAAGGCACACAGAGAGCCCCCCCCCGGUGGAACCAAAGAUUUCCAUGAUCCUGUGUUGGUGUCUUCCUGGGUCAAGGAGGUCACUGAGUGGCUCUGGGUGUUACUGAAGUGCCCUCUCACCUACAAGUCGUGCACUGUGGCUAUUACCUGACUGGACAGAGAAGAAAAUAAGAAAUAUAGUUGAAGAGAUGAAACUGGUUUUUUGGAGGAUCCUUGGAGUGUUGGGGAAAUAAAGCCGAAAGAGUGCAACAAAAGACCCCUCUAUAUCAACAUGAUUCAAUAUUGGGCAAGUAUUAUCAGUGAUAACAUGGAUGUGAGCUAAAGUGACUACAAAAUUUGGAGAGAAUUUCACACAAAUUAUUCAGAAAGUAGAAGAGAGGAAAAUGAAAACUUCUCUGUGUGGAAGAUAAGAGAGUGUACCUUGUGGUGGUCUCAUUAUACCCACCAGAGACGGACCUCUGAGCUGACUCCAGAGGAAGUUUUUAGUUUCAAGGGUCAGAAGGCCCAAGACUUUGCUUGGUAAGAUCAAAGGGUUAAACCAUUUGUAUCAAGUCUGCUGUGUCCUCAAGGUGGACACUCUGAAGAGCAGAGGACACAUAUGCAGGAACCUUCUUCCUCAAAGAAAACUCAUCAUCUUACCCUUAUAGUUUGCCAAGUAAUUUUUUCCAAAGACCUUUCUGUAGUCCACCUCAAAUAAAUAAUGUGUGAGAAUUCCAUCGUGUAAUGAGAAUAAAGUCAAGAUAAUACAUUACAGGCAUUUGUGAUUUUUCCCAGUCCCUCCCAUAUUCCCCCGAGUCCUAACUCCUGUGUCUCUAGCCAAGAGGGUGGCUGAGUGUGCCACCGCCAUGCCCAGGCUCUCAUAACACAUGAUCAGUGGCCCAGAAGAGUGGGGGUCACCCGGAAGAGCAAGAAUGCAUACCAAGACUCAAAGGGCUGUCUUUAAUGGCUAGAAGGAAGAAGCAAUAGAAAUCAAAGGAAUAGGAAAGAAAAGUGAGACCAAAAACCACAAAGGAUGGAGUUCAGAGAGAAUUUUUGGCGAUAAUUUUGAGACUGGGCUUUGAGUCCCCUGUAGCCUUGAGACUUGGAGAGAGGGAGCUGGGGCCUGGGGGGAGAAGUGUUAUUAUGGGUUAUGUGUUGAAUCCCAUUCAGUAUUCUUCAAGUUAGGCAAACAAAAGAUUCACAUGACAUUUGAAGAUUUAUUCAUUUUAGAGAGAGAGAGAGAGAGUGUGUGUGAGCAAGCAGGAGGAGGGGCAGAGGGAGAGGGAGAACCUCAAGUAUACUCCUGCUAAGUUUGGAGUUGGAUGCAGGGCUUGAUGCAGGGCUCACUCUCAGGACUCCGAGGUCAUGACCUGAGUUGAGAUAAAAAGUCAGAUGCCCAAUUGACUAAGUGACUCAGGUGCCCCUCAAACGAUAUUUAAAUGGCCUUUGAUGGCUGAACUAAUUUUUGAAUGUGGAGUGGGAAGCCCUGUAGGGCCUGGGUUGGGUUACCCCUUACUGAAGACUCAGAGGAAUGUUGACCUUGAGGGUGAUAUGAAAUCAGUGAAAAUCAUCCAAAACUUCUUUGCUGAGCACCAACUGUAGUUGUAGCAUGGAGGAAGGAACAAAAUAGUAUAAGAUAUGGCCAAGCUUAUGAGGCUCUUAUAUUUGGAUAAAUAAAACUUUUCUAUAAACAGUUAAGUAAUAACAUACCACCAAAAGGGAUGCCAAAAGACUAGGAGGGCUGCUGAGUUGGUAGGAGGAACCACUAGUGGUAUAUCGGGCCCUUUCCUAGAACUGAGUAUCUAUUUUUCCUUAAUCUAUUUUUUAAGCUUGCCUCCCCCAUAUUGCAAUAAUUUUCUUAAACUUUAAGAGUUUGCAAUUCCAACCAUAUAUAUCAAACAAAAACACCAUUUUUAGGGGAAAAAAACGGAAAAAGUACUCAGGCUUUAUUAGUAAUUUUUCUGAUAGAUGGUUCUCUAUGUAAUCUUUUUUUUCCCCACUUUUGUGAAUUUGCCAUUUUUUCUAAAACGAAUACUUAUUGCAUUUAAAUUAAUAUUUUAAGCCCUUAUUUUAGAACUGUAAAUGUAAUAAUGAUAAAAU